GGUUCCAAUCGUUCGAGUGGCAGAGAUGAUACAACUUCCCGGAUAAUGACGUCAGUAAAUUUAUUCGCCAUUUUUCCUCAAUAAAUUUACGUUGACCGCUUGUAAUAUUUAUGCAGUUGGCAUCAGUUAGUACUGUAGCACUGCAAACAGAUAACUUAUAGCACCAUGUCUGCUCCUCAAAAUACUCAAUCAGUACCGGGUGGACCCCCAGCGUCCGGGUAUGGAGGAACAGCUGGCACAGGUGGACCCCCACAACAGCCAUAUCAGUCCAGUAAAAGGCUUCAACAGACACAAGCACAAGUGGAUGAGGUUGUCGAUAUCAUGAGAGUAAAUGUAGACAAAGUUCUGGAGAGAGACACAAAAAUCUCAGAGUUAGACGACAGAGCAGAGGCAUUACAGCAAGGAGCUUCACAAUUUGAAGCAAGUGCAGGGAAAUUGAAGCGAAAAUUUUGGUGGAAAAACUGCAAGUAUGGGCAGUGGAGGAUAACAAGUGAUGAGGAAGAGAAGAAAUAUUGGAAUAAGAAACAUUUUGUUGUAGAUAGUUGUUUACAGUCAUCUCAUCUCACUCUCCAUCUUACAAUCAUAAAACUAGAAAUAUGUAAUUGAUAUACAUGAAACAAAUUUGUACACAUUCCGUGAUCCUUGUUAGGGAUUUUUAAACUAAACAUAAUGCUUGUAGCAUGAGUUUUGUCCAUGCAAUAUAUGGUUAUUAUUUAUAUCUCUCUCUCUCUAUAUAUAUAUAUAUAUAUAUAUAAGAUAUAAUUAAGUAUUCUUGACUAUUGAUCUGUCAAGUGUCAUGAAAUAGUUGGAUCAUGGUUUUGCUAACAAUUUUGACAAUUUUACAUUUUCCCUUUGAAACACUGUUUUUGCCCUUAAAAGUGAAUUUAAGUUUUGCCAGAAGAACAUCAUGAUAUAUUACAAUAUUUGUACCAAGCAUAUAAACAGACUUUAGACAUAUAUAUUCCAUGACUAUUGUCACAAAGAACAUAUUAUCAAAGAAGAAUUAUUUAUUCAUGUCAGCAAAUCUUUUUAUUUAGUACAUGCAUAAUUCUUCAAUACUGUUAUAUUCAAUAGUGUUAGAUAACUCUUUAAUACUGUUAUAUUCAAUAGUGUUAGAUAACUCUUUAAUACUGUUAUAUUCAAUAGUGUUAGAUAACUCUUCAAUACUGUUAUAUUCAAUAGUGUUAGAUAACUCUUCAAUACUGUUAUAUUCAAUAGUGUUAGAUAACUCUUCAAUACUGUUAUAUUCAAUAGUGUUAGAUAACUCUUUAAUACUGUUAUAUUCAAUAGUGUUAGAUAACUCUUCAAUACUGUUAUAUUCAAUAGUGUUAGAUAACUCUUCAAUACUGUUAUAUUCAAUAGUGUUAGAUAACUCUUUAAUACUGUUAUAUUCAAUAGUGUUAGAUAACUCUUCAAUACUGUUCUAUUCUGUAGUGUUAGAUAUGCAUUUUUGCUGAGUAAUGGAGGAUAAUCAGAAUCAUAUUUUUAAUAUGCCAAAAUCUUUUAUGAUUACUCAAUUUAAACUUGACUGAAAAACUUGCUAAAUACUAAAAAGCGUUUCUUUUUAUGUUUUAGUUUUUCACACAAAUUAUGCCUGUAUGGCCAAAGAUAUAUACUCAACAUCUGAAGUAAAAAGAAUUAAACAGUUUUAUAAAUUAACAUUAACCAGAUCAUUUACUGAGCAAAAAAGUAAAAAAAUAAAUGAGGGAAGCUGAUCAAAUCAAUUUUAAAGCAGCAUCUUGCCAUCUACCCAACAACAAUGGUUGAAAGAUCUGACCAUUUUGUAAUGUUAUAAGUUAAUCAGAACAUUUUAAACAACUAUUUCUUUCGUGAAUGAUUUUUCUUGAUCUCUUAAUUUUGAAAUGACAAUUGAUCGUUAUUGAGGUUCUUCAUUAGGCUUUGAUGAAAGCAUUUUUUCAUUCCCAAGAUUAACCACAAAUUGUGCAUGAGUAUAGAGUCAUACUUGAAUAUUUGAUUGUGUGAUUACCAAGGCAAACCAUUGUGACUAUUGGAGAAUAUGAUAACCCUUGUCAAAGGCCAUGACUUGUUGAUUAUCUGUUUAAUUGGGUUGCUUACUUAAUUUAUGCGACUUGGUUGUGAUAGUAAUAGAAAGAUUUGAUAGUUAAAAUCACAUUUUGUUUGUAUUAUCAAGGUGUUUAAAAGUGCUGCUAAUUUGUCCUUCAAGGUAUAAAACAAAAUUCUGUUAUCAAUUUAAGCUGUCAAGCAGAAUAAUCUUAAAGAAAUAUAGAUACAAAUUAAAAUUAUUUCGAUAAAAGAGCAAAACGAUCUUGAUGAAAUGAAAUAUUGUUAUUAACAUAUAUGUAUGACUGGUUUAGAUUUUAUACUCUGGAAUCACCUUUUUUCCAUAGAUUAUUCAUUUAUUUAAUAUAAUUUAAUGAUUAUUUUUAAUAUAAAUUCUUGUAUUUUAUUUGAUGAAGCAAAAAUAAACACUUUUAAGAUGGGCAAAUAAGUUUGAGACUUUAUCAAAUUAAUAUAUAUCAUACAUUUUUAGUACAUGUGUUUCUAAGUUCUUGUUAGCUUAAGUGUGGUAAACACAAGUAAAGAUAUGAAUGUUAUAAUUUAUUGUAUGCUUACAAUUGAAAGUUUAUUGUUAAUUUUGAUGACAGAUUAUUUAUUGUUGAUCCAGUGCUUAUUAUAAUCAACCCUGUAAUUAUGUACAUUUAUAAUGGCUGUAUUUAUUUGCCUUAUGUUCAAUGCAAAUCUUUGCAUGUAAUUUGUGCAAGGAAUAUAUCAUGUCCUUAACCAAUCUUGGUAUCUUCAACCUCUUUAAUCCUUGGAUCUAUCCUGUUAUUUCUUUUUUUAUUUUAAAUUUGCAUAACAUUUGUGCAACUAUAAGGGAUUAAAAGAAACAAUUUUGCAGGGAUAAAAGUAAUAUUAGUAGUAUUAAAAUAAAAUAUUUUUUUCCAAAUCAACAUUUAAUAUAUCUGUAUAAUUCACAGUAAAAAAACAUAUUGUAGAACAUUUUCUUUCAAAAGUAAGUAUAUAUGAUGAAUGUGGAGGAAAUGAAAUUGGACUUUAUUGAAUGCUGAAACAACAUGUUUCUCAUUCUCCACUAUUGUAUAUAGUAUGUUAGAAAAACUCAUUCACAGAAAUCCUUUGAAACCUUGAACAUGUAUUGAAAAGAUGAACAUAUGAUAUGUCAAGCUGUGUGCUUUUUAUCAUUGAGCAAAUAAUGUCCAUUUGGAAUCAUAUAUAUAUUAGAAGUUAAAUUGUAUAUGAUGUUUUAUGGAGAGACAUUAAUGAUGUAAAACCAUUAUAUACAAGUUAUUAAUAAGAAAUGACCCUUUUUUGAUUAUAGCUAUUGGAAGAAUAAAUGACGAAUGUACAGAAUGUUUGAGGAAAAUAUUUAAGACACAAAUAUCUGUUUUAUUUAGUCUGGACUCACUCAAUGGCAAAAUGUUUCUCUUCCAAGAUAUACAAGAUAUUUCUCACAAAAUUUAAAAAAAAAAAUACAUGACUGGUUAGUUUAAACAUAUUUUAUUGUUCAAAAGACAAAUGGAUUAGACACUAGUUUUUGUCAACCUGACAAGUUGAAGUUUAUACAGCAGUCAUUCAGAAUGUCUGUCGGACAUCAGCAAAUUUCUUCUAAGAAUUUGAUUAAAAGCAAAAAUUAAUAGAACCUUUAAAUUACAUCUGUUAAUGUUAUUUAAGGAUGUACUUAGGUCAGGUUUAGGAAUUUUUGUCAGAUUUUCGGACUCCUUGGUUUUUUUCCUACGGUACAGGGUAAAAUAAUUUGCCCCAUAACACCCAUUUUUCUUUUCAUAUAAGACUUCAAUAGCUCAUAAAAGGUCAUUUACCAAAAUUUAAGCAGAUUCUAAAUACAUUCUUAAAAACAUUUAAUGCAGAACAGACUGAGUUUCCAGUAAAAAUAAAUUACCACCUAAAUCACUGCAUUAAUGAAAAUAAAAGUAGAUAGUGAAACUAGGGAUUACAUUUAUCAGGUCCAGUCAUUAGGAUGGUGCAAUGUUAUUUAGUAGAAUUUUUUCUUGUCAGUCCCACUUCAUUUAAUCACAUCGUCAGCAUAGAGUGUAUGUAUAUUUACUUUUAAAAGAAUUACAUGUACAUGUAUAUCACUAGGAUAAUUUUGUAGUAGGUAGCAUAUUCCUGUUCUAUUUAUUUUCAUGUAAAUUUUUAAGUGAGGAUUUGAACGUUCCUGAUUAUCAUUCCAAAUGUAAAUUUGUAUGAAUGUGAUUAUUUUGAAUGUACUCUGAAAAUGAUUCAACUGUUUUGUUUUGUUUUUCCUUAGUUUUUGCAAAUAUUUUAGAUAUUUUUAUUCUUCAUACAGAGUUGAUUAACUGUAUGCGUGAUACUUAACUGUUCAGUUCUAUGAUAGAGAAAAGGUAUCUGUUAAAAAUUUGAAUGUAGAAUUAAUCUCAAAAUUUGAGGGUUUUAUUUAUAUUUGAUAUUAAUUUUGUUAAUUUCUUGGGUACGGACAGUGCAGAUGAUUCUACAAAAUGUAGAUUUUUUCAUUUGCCUUUAAUAUAAGCAGAACAAAUACUAUAAGUGAAGUACCAUUCAAAAAGAAAAUUUGUUGUCCAUGUAUUGUACAGCUGCAGGGGAAUGGACACAAGGAUGAAUAAAGCUUCUAAAAUGUCUAUCUUUCCUAUUUGAGAGGGGACAUUUAAUGUUUCUUUAGGUUUUUGUCGAGUGUGCAACAUUUGUCGCAAAAGUGAGACAUAGCGAUCCUACAUUCCGUCGGCGGCGGCGGCUGCGUCCACAAAUAUUCACUCUGUGCUUAAAGUUUUUGAAAUUUUAAUAACUUUCUUAAACUAUCCUGGAUUUUUACCAAACUUGGACAGAAGCUUGUUUAUGAUCAUAAGAUAGUAUCCAGAAGUAAAUUUUGUAAAAAAAACAUCCUGUUUAUCCGUAUUUUACUUAUAAAUGGAAUGAGUUUUUCUGCCAAAUAACAUUACAUUCACUCUGUGGUUAAAGUUUUUUUAAAUUUCAAUAACUUUCUUAAACUAUCAUGGAUUUCUACCAAACUUAGACAGAAGCUUGUUUAUGAUCAAAAGCUAGUAUCUAGAAGGAAGUUUUGUAAAAAUUUAUUUCCUGUUUUUCCGUAUACUUCUUAUAAAUGGACUUAGUUUUUCUUCCAGUUAACAUAACUUAAAUACAGUCUGCAGUUAAAGUUUUUAAAACAUUUAUUAGAUUCAUAAACCAUCCAGGUUUUUUUACCAAACUUGGAUAGAAGCUUCUUACAAUCAAAAAGAUAGUAUCUAGAGGAAAAUUUUUUAUAAUUUUUUCCCCAUUUUUGUUGAGCCUGCGACUAACAGCAAAAGUAGGCGAGACACUGGGUUCCGUGGAACCCUUACGAAUUUUUCUUAAUGAAUAACAAAGGCAGAUUGGUAUUCAGUGUUAUACAAAAAAAAAGUGACAAAAACUUGUGUGGCAAUGGGUUGACUUGCCCUCUGUGACCAUGGGUUGACCUGCCCCCUUUGGGGCCAUUUAUUGACUUGCCCCUUCGGUUUGGCUAUGGUUUGACUUUCAUCCCUUUGUGUGGCCAUGGGCUAGCUUGCCCCCUUUGGGUGACAAUAAGUUGCAUUUCCACCUUUGUGUUAAUGGCCAUUGGUUGACUUGCUCUGUUUGCAGCCAUGGGUUGACUUGCUCAGUUUAUGAAGAUGGGUUAACUUGCUCUAAGUGUGGCCAUCUGUUGACUUACUCCGUUUUUGGCCAAGGACUAACUUGUUCUGUUUUUGAGCAGGUGAUAAAGAGCAAAAUCCAAAAGCUGUAAUGUACAAUAACAAACAAAUUUAAUCCAAUAUCUGCUGAAAGAAAUUGAAAAGAGUGAAUUAUUUGUCUUUGGUUACUGACAUUGAUGAGUACUUUGUUGUUGAUUAUGUAGAUUUUGUUAUACAUGUCCUGUAUAUUGUGAUUAAAGCUGUAUAUAAGCGUGGCCAUCUGUUGACUUACUCCGUUUUUGGCCAAGGACUAACUUGUUCUGUUUUUGAGCAGGUGAUAAAGAGCAAAAUCCAAAAGCUGUAAUGUACAAUAACAAACAAAUUUAAUCCAAUAUCUGCUGAAAGAAAUUGAAAAGAGUGAAUUAUUUGUCUUUGGUUACUGACAUUGAUGAGUACUUUGUUGUUGAUUAUGUAGAUUUUGUUAUACAUGUCCUGUAUAUUGUGAUUAAAGCUGUAUAUAAGCGUGGCCAUCUGUUGACUUACUCCGUUUUUGGCCAAGGACUAACUUGUUCUGUUUUUGAGCAGGUGAUAAAGAGCAAAAUCCAAAAGCUGUAAUGUACAAUAACAAACAAAUGUAAUCCAAUAUCUGCUGAAAGAAAUUGAAAAGAGUGAAUUAUUUGUCUUUGGUUACUGACAUUGAUGAGUACUUUGUUGUUGAUUAUGUAGAUUUUGUUAUACAUGUCCUGUAUAUUGUGAUUAAAGCUGUAUAUAAGCUUCA
RNA transcript from Mytilus californianus (California mussel), 6417 nucleotides. It is a transcript of the gene named synaptobrevin-like, with no coding region annotated. Lineage: Eukaryota; Metazoa; Mollusca; Bivalvia; Mytilida; Mytilidae. The record is from RefSeq and is a predicted model, not a curated record. The transcript is spliced from 7 exons.